RNAcentral lists this unclassified non-coding RNA (412 nucleotides) under soil metagenome. Its description in RNAcentral is "partial contains 5.8S ribosomal RNA, internal transcribed spacer 2, and large subunit ribosomal RNA". The stretch from base 1 to 120 matches the Rfam family "5.8S ribosomal RNA", at positions 35 to 154 of the family's 154-position model. The record is from RNAcentral.
GAUGAAGAACGUAGCGAAAUGCGAUAAGUAAUGUGAAUUGCAGAAUUCAGUGAAUCAUCGAAUCUUUGAACGCACCUUGCGCUCUUUGGUAUUCCGAAGAGCAUGCCUGUUUGAGUGUCAUGAAAAUAUCAACCUUGACUUGGGUUUUGUGCUCUAGUCUCGGCUUGGAAUUGGGUGCUUGCCGCUUUUACGAGCGGCUCACCUUAAAUGUAUUAGCUGGAUCUGUCUUUGAGACUUGGUUUGACUUGGCGUAAUAAGUAUUUCGCUAAGGACAUUCUUCGGAGUGGCCUCGUUUCUAGGACGCUUGUCCGCUUUCCAAUACAAGUUCCACCUCGUGGACAUGACUUUUAUUAUCUGGCCUCAAAUCAGGUAGGACUACCCGCUGAACUUAAGCAUAUCAAUAAGCGGAGGA